RNAcentral lists this ribosomal RNA (253 nucleotides) under uncultured bacterium. RNAcentral describes it as "partial 16S ribosomal RNA". It matches the Rfam family "Bacterial small subunit ribosomal RNA", at positions 524 to 776 of the family's 1533-position model. The record is from RNAcentral.
UACAGAGGGGGCAAGCGUUGUUCGGAAUUACUGGGCGUAAAGGGCGCGUAGGCGGCCUGUUAAGUCGGACGUGAAAUCCCUCGGCUCAACCGGGGAACUGCGUCCGAUACUGGCGGGCUUGAAUUCGGGAGAGGGAUGUGGAAUUCCAGGUGUAGCGGUGAAAUGCGUAGAUAUCGGUAGGAACACCAGUGGCGAAGGCGGUUUCCUGGAGCCCACUUGACGCUGAGACGCGAAAGCUGGGGGAGCAAACGGG